This 494-nucleotide ribosomal RNA is filed under the name uncultured bacterium. Its description in RNAcentral is "partial 16S ribosomal RNA". It matches the Rfam family "Bacterial small subunit ribosomal RNA", at positions 30 to 523 of the family's 1533-position model. The record is from RNAcentral.
AUUGAACGCUGGCGGCAUGCCUUACACAUGCAAGUCGAACGGUAACAGGUUAAGCUGACGAGUGGCGAACGGGUGAGUAAUGUAUCGGAACGUGCCCAGUCGUGGGGGAUAACUGCUCGAAAGAGCAGCUAAUACCGCAUACGACCUGAGGGUGAAAGCGGGGGAUCGCAAGACCUCGCGCGAUUGGAGCGGCCGAUAUCAGAUUAGGUAGUUGGUGAGGUAAAGGCUCACCAAGCCGACGAUCUGUAGCUGGUCUGAGAGGACGACCAGCCACACUGGGACUGAGACACGGCCCAGACUCCUACGGGAGGCAGCAGUGGGGAAUUUUGGACAAUGGGCGCAAGCCUGAUCCAGCCAUGCCGCGUGCGGGAAGAAGGCCUUCGGGUUGUAAACCGCUUUUGUCAGGGAAGAAAAGGUUCUGGCUAAUACCUGGGACUCAUGACGGUACCUGAAGAAUAAGCACCGGCUAACUACGUGCCGGCCGCCGCCUGUAA